AUACCAUGAUGGGAGCAUCAUCAUAAUAGUUCUUUAAACCUUUCCCAUGCCUCAUAAAAGGACUCAUCAUCCAUCUGUUGGAAGAUAAUGAUCUUGUUCCUCAACUU
RNAcentral lists this small nucleolar RNA (107 nucleotides) under Gossypium arboreum. Its description in RNAcentral is "Plant small nucleolar RNA R71". It matches the Rfam family "Plant small nucleolar RNA R71". Rfam says of the family: R71 is a member of the C/D box family of snoRNAs containing the C (UGAUGA) and D (CUGA) box motifs. The record is from Rfam by way of RNAcentral. Lineage: Eukaryota; Viridiplantae; Streptophyta; Magnoliopsida; Malvales; Malvaceae.